Molecule: long non-coding RNA, 301 nt
Filed under: Felis catus (domestic cat)
Lineage: Eukaryota; Metazoa; Chordata; Mammalia; Carnivora; Felidae
Description: lncRNA (ENSFCAG00000045990.2)
Source: RNAcentral
AUUGUUUUUGAUUUCUUUCCCUUAUUUAUUGUUUUAAUUUUCUAGGUAUUCUCUUUUGAACGGGAGAGUUGUGUGUCACCCUAGAUCCCCAGAAACACACCCUACUUGUACGGGCAGGAUCCAACUCAGACUUGAUGAAGCAACUGUGAGGGAGGUGGACAUGGAUGAAUUAAAGAGGACGGAAAGCAGACCUUGAAGACAAAAGAAAGAGAGUACAAGGGAGGUGAGAUCACAGGGAAGGUGUGAUUGGUUCCAGAUGGGGAAACCACGGAAGGCUUCCUGGAGAAGGUAUACAGCUUUA